UCCGGUUUGGCACCGGCAGUCCCCCCAGAGUCCCCGGCUUCACCCGCUGGCAACUGGAGGCGGGGGUUGCGCUCGUUGCGGGACUUAACCCAACAUCUCACGACACGAGCUGACGACAGCCAUGCAGCACCUGUGCUGGGACUCCGAAGAGGGGUCCUGGUUUCUCAAGACUUUCCCCUGCAUGUCAAGCCCAGGUAAGGUUCUUCGCGUUGCGUCGAAUUAAACCACAUGCUCCACCGCUUGUGCAGGCCCCCGUCAAUUUCUUUGAGUUUUAGCCUUGCGGCCGUAGUCCCCAGGCGGAGCACUUAUCGCGUUGGCUGCGGCACCGAGGGGGUCGAUACCCCCGACACCUAGUGCUCAUCGUUUACGGCGUGGACUAC
This 380-nucleotide unclassified non-coding RNA is filed under the name uncultured bacterium. RNAcentral's name for it is "contains 16S-23S intergenic spacer region". The record is from RNAcentral.